RNAcentral lists this long non-coding RNA (191 nucleotides) under Junco hyemalis (dark-eyed junco). RNAcentral describes it as "lncRNA (ENSJHYG00000005078.1)". The record is from RNAcentral. Lineage: Eukaryota; Metazoa; Chordata; Aves; Passeriformes; Passerellidae.
AAGCCGUGAGAUGAUUUACUGGGAAUACCACUUGGAGAAGGAACUGUGGUCACAACCAGAGAAUUCUUGUUAGUCUACUCCCUGGAAAAUCAUAGAUUGGAACAGUGUUUUCAUAUUGAUUUAAAGGAAUUUCUGCAUAAGAGACAUGGACUCUUUGUUAUGUAAUGAAAAAGUGCACAGGUUCAACAGGA